This 391-nucleotide ribosomal RNA is filed under the name uncultured bacterium. RNAcentral describes it as "bacterial SSU rRNA". It matches the Rfam family "Bacterial small subunit ribosomal RNA", at positions 29 to 424 of the family's 1533-position model. The record is from RNAcentral.
AGCGAACGUUUGCGGCGGGCCUAACACAUGCAAGUCGAACGCACUAGCAAUAGUGAGUGGCGCACGGGUGCGUAACACGUGGGUAAUCAACCCUUCAGCUUGGGAUAACGACUUGAAAGGGUCGCUAAUACCGGAUACGGCGCGGGAGGCUUCGGCUUCUCACGAGAAAGCCUCGCAAGGGGCACUGAAGGACGAGCCUGCGGCCCAUCAGCUAGUUGGUGAGGUAAGAGCUCACCAAGGCGAAGACGGGUAGCUGGUCUGAGAGGAUGAUCAGCCACACUGGAACUGAGACACGGUCCAGACUCCUACGGGAGGCAGCAGUGGGGAAUAUUGCGCAAUGGGCGAAAGCCUGACGCAGCCACGCCGCGUGAGCGAUGAAGGCCUUCGGGUC